UCUUUGCAGAUCUUCUCCAAGUCAUUAAGGUUUCGAGGCUGACGUUUGGCAACUCGAACCUUCAGCUCCCUCCACAGAUUUUCUGUGGGAUUAAGGUCUGGAGACUGGCUAGGCCACUCCAGGACCUUAAUGUGCUUCUUCUUGAGCCACUCCUUUGUUGCCUUGGCCGUGUGUUUUGGGUCAUUGGCCAUUUACCCAUACACAAUCCAUGUAUCAAGGCUUGAAAAUCCUUCUUUAACUUGUCUCCUCACUUUCAUCUACACUGAUUUGAAGUGGAUUUAACAGGUGAAACAUCAAUAAGGGAUCAUAGCGCUCACCUGGAUUCACCUGGUCAGUCUGUCAUGGAAAUAAUCUAAUCCUAAUGUCUUGUCAGCUCAGUGAGCACAUGUGUGCUGAGGUGCAGAGAAUCAGAGCAGGAGGUCAGUCCUGUUAGAAUCAGAGCAGGAGGUCAGUCCUGUUGGAAUCAGAGCAGGAGGUCAGUCCUGUUAGAAUCAGAGCAGGAGGUCAGUCCUGUU
RNAcentral lists this long non-coding RNA (515 nucleotides) under Salmo salar (Atlantic salmon). RNAcentral's name for it is "lncRNA (ENSSSAG00000097621.1)". The record is from RNAcentral. Lineage: Eukaryota; Metazoa; Chordata; Actinopteri; Salmoniformes; Salmonidae.